Molecule: non-coding RNA, 283 nt
Filed under: Chrysochromulina tobinii
Lineage: Eukaryota; Haptophyta; Prymnesiales; Chrysochromulinaceae
Description: Chrysochromulina sp. CCMP291 Bacterial small subunit ribosomal RNA
Rfam family: Bacterial small subunit ribosomal RNA
Source: Rfam by way of RNAcentral
AGCUUGUAAAAGUCAGCUAAUCUCGUAAACUUAGCCUAAGUUCAGAUUGUAGGCUGCAACUCGCCUGCAUGAAGUUGGAAUCGCUAGUAAUCGCUGGUCAGCUAUACAGCGGUGAAUCCGUUCCCGGGCCUUGUACACACCGCCCGUCACACCAUGGGAGCUGGUCAUACCCGAAACCGUUAGUUUAACCGCGAGGAGAACGACGUCUAAGGUAGGGCUAGUGACUGGGGUGAAGUCGUAACAAGGUAGCCGUACUGGAAGGUGCGGCUGGAUCACCUCCUUU